RNAcentral lists this ribosomal RNA (2357 nucleotides) under Klebsiella quasipneumoniae. Its description in RNAcentral is "23S ribosomal RNA". It matches the Rfam family "Bacterial large subunit ribosomal RNA", at positions 590 to 2925 of the family's 2925-position model. The record is from RNAcentral. Lineage: Bacteria; Pseudomonadati; Pseudomonadota; Gammaproteobacteria; Enterobacterales; Enterobacteriaceae.
GGUGUGACUGCGUACCUUUUGUAUAAUGGGUCAGCGACUUAUAUUCUGUAGCAAGGUUAACCGUAUAGGGGAGCCGCAGGGAAACCGAGUCUUAACUGGGCGUUAAGUUGCAGGGUAUAGACCCGAAACCCGGUGAUCUAGCCAUGGGCAGGUUGAAGGUUGGGUAACACUAACUGGAGGACCGAACCGACUAAUGUUGAAAAAUUAGCGGAUGACUUGUGGCUGGGGGUGAAAGGCCAAUCAAACCGGGAGAUAGCUGGUUCUCCCCGAAAGCUAUUUAGGUAGCGCCUCGUGAACUCAUCUUCGGGGGUAGAGCACUGUUUCGGCUAGGGGGUCAUCCCGACUUACCAACCCGAUGCAAACUACGAAUACCGAAGAAUGUUAUCACGGGAGACACACGGCGGGUGCUAACGUCCGUCGUGAAGAGGGAAACAACCCAGACCGCCAGCUAAGGUCCCAAAGUCAUGGUUAAGUGGGAAACGAUGUGGGAAGGCACAGACAGCCAGGAUGUUGGCUUAGAAGCAGCCAUCAUUUAAAGAAAGCGUAAUAGCUCACUGGUCGAGUCGGCCUGCGCGGAAGAUGUAACGGGGCUAAACCAUGCACCGAAGCUGCGGCAGCGACACUAUGUGUUGUUGGGUAGGGGAGCGUUCUGUAAGCCUGCGAAGGUGACCUGUGAGGGUUGCUGGAGGUAUCAGAAGUGCGAAUGCUGACAUAAGUAACGAUAAAGCGGGUGAAAAGCCCGCUCGCCGGAAGACCAAGGGUUCCUGUCCAACGUUAAUCGGGGCAGGGUGAGUCGACCCCUAAGGCGAGGCCGAAAGGCGUAGUCGAUGGGAAACAGGUUAAUAUUCCUGUACUUGGUGUUACUGCGAAGGGGGGACGGAGAAGGCUAUGUUAGCCGGGCGACGGUUGUCCCGGUUUAAGCAUGUAGGCUGGUUAUCCAGGCAAAUCCGGAUAAUCAAGGCUGAGGUGUGAUGACGAGGCACUACGGUGCUGAAGUAACAAAUGCCCUGCUUCCAGGAAAAGCCUCUAAGCAUCAGGUAACAUCAAAUCGUACCCCAAACCGACACAGGUGGUCAGGUAGAGAAUACCAAGGCGCUUGAGAGAACUCGGGUGAAGGAACUAGGCAAAAUGGUGCCGUAACUUCGGGAGAAGGCACGCUGGUGUGUAGGUGAAGUCCCUGCGGAUGGAGCUGAGACCAGUCGAAGAUACCAGCUGGCUGCAACUGUUUAUUAAAAACACAGCACUGUGCAAACACGAAAGUGGACGUAUACGGUGUGACGCCUGCCCGGUGCCGGAAGGUUAAUUGAUGGGGUUAUCCGUAAGGAGAAGCUCUUGAUCGAAGCCCCGGUAAACGGCGGCCGUAACUAUAACGGUCCUAAGGUAGCGAAAUUCCUUGUCGGGUAAGUUCCGACCUGCACGAAUGGCGUAAUGAUGGCCAGGCUGUCUCCACCCGAGACUCAGUGAAAUUGAACUCGCUGUGAAGAUGCAGUGUACCCGCGGCAAGACGGAAAGACCCCGUGAACCUUUACUAUAGCUUGACACUGAACAUUGAGCCUUGAUGUGUAGGAUAGGUGGGAGGCUUUGAAGCGUGGACGCCAGUCUGCGUGGAGCCAACCUUGAAAUACCACCCUUUAAUGUUUGAUGUUCUAACGUGGGCCCCUAAUCGGGGUUGCGGACAGUGUCUGGUGGGUAGUUUGACUGGGGCGGUCUCCUCCCAAAGCGUAACGGAGGAGCACGAAGGUUAGCUAAUCCUGGUCGGACAUCAGGAGGUUAGUGCAAUGGCAUAAGCUAGCUUGACUGCGAGCGUGACGGCGCGAGCAGGUGCGAAAGCAGGUCAUAGUGAUCCGGUGGUUCUGAAUGGAAGGGCCAUCGCUCAACGGAUAAAAGGUACUCCGGGGAUAACAGGCUGAUACCGCCCAAGAGUUCAUAUCGACGGCGGUGUUUGGCACCUCGAUGUCGGCUCAUCACAUCCUGGGGCUGAAGUAGGUCCCAAGGGUAUGGCUGUUCGCCAUUUAAAGUGGUACGCGAGCUGGGUUUAGAACGUCGUGAGACAGUUCGGUCCCUAUCUGCCGUGGGCGCUGGAGAAUUGAGGGGGGCUGCUCCUAGUACGAGAGGACCGGAGUGGACGCAUCACUGGUGUUCGGGUUGUCAUGCCAAUGGCACUGCCCGGUAGCUAAAUGCGGAAGAGAUAAGUGCUGAAAGCAUCUAAGCACGAAACUUGCCCCGAGAUGAGUUCUCCCUGAGACUNNNUAAGUCUCCUGAAGGAACGUUGAAGACGACGACGUUGAUAGGCCGGGUGUGUAAGCGCAGCGAUGCGUUGAGCUAACCGGUACUAAUGAACCGUGAGGCUUAACCUU